AUUGAACGCUGGCGGCAUGCCUUACACAUGCAAGUCGAACGGUAACAGGUUAAGCUGACGAGUGGCGAACGGGUGAGUAAUAUAUCGGAACGUGCCCAGUCGUGGGGGAUAACGUAGCGAAAGCUACGCUAAUACCGCAUACGAUCUACGGAUGAAAGCGGGGGAUCGCAAGACCUCGCGCGAUUGGAGCGGCCGAUUUCAGAUUAGGUUGUUGGUGAGGUAAAAGCUCACCAAGCCUGCGAUCUGUAGCUGGGUUUAGAGGACGACCAGCCACACUGGAACUGAGACACGGUCCAGACUCCUACGGGAGGCAGCAGUGGGGAAUUUUGGACAAUGGACGCAAGUCUGAUCCAGGAAUGCCGCGUGCAGGACGAAGGCCUUCGGGUUGUAAACUGCUUUUGUACGGAACGAAACGGUGAGCUCUAAUACAGUUUGCUAAUGACGGUACCGUAAGAAUAAGCACCGGCUAACUACGUGCCAGCCGCCGCCGUAA
This 493-nucleotide ribosomal RNA is filed under the name uncultured bacterium. RNAcentral's name for it is "partial 16S ribosomal RNA". It matches the Rfam family "Bacterial small subunit ribosomal RNA", at positions 30 to 523 of the family's 1533-position model. The record is from RNAcentral.